CUUCAUUCAAACUAUUUUGUUUAAAAGCAACAGAACAAUAAUUCAGUUAAACAAUACAAUUGUCACAAAAGCUAUUAUAAUAUGAAAAUUAGGCAUUCCAAUCACCAAUUUAACAUUCUCCACACCUUGAACAUAACCCUACAAUUAAUACCUAUUGUACAAGCCCAAUAAUGCCCGGGCCCAUAUAAAACAAAGCACAGCCCAAAUUUAACCCAAUUAAACCAGCCCAACAUAGUAAAGCUAAGCAGAAAACCCUAGCCUAGGUAGCACCAGCAGUAAGUAGCGCUGCAAGCCCUGCCUCCAGCAGCCUCUCCAAGCGCCGUAGGACUCGGAGAUUAGCCCCUCCACGCGCGCCAUUCGCACAACCACCUGCAAAUAAAAACGGACUAAGAGUCCACAAUAGGAGGAUUGUAAACUAAUGUAUUUUGGUAGGCUAUAAAAGCCUAGAUCUAUAACAAGGAGAGGGGACGGAUAGACAGGGAAAUAGACAAAAAAAAAUUGAAAGAAAAAGAGAUUACUGUAAAUUGAGGGAGAAACAGUGAAAUAAAAUCAGAAGAGGUGAAUUUCAUCUUAGUUUUUUUUUUAUUUCUUUGUUUGUUUUAUUUAUUUUCAGAUUUUUCGUAUAUUAAAUAAAAAAUAAAAGGGAGUAUCACCUUCAAGGAUACGCCGUUAAAACUCGAGCCUGCUUCACCUGAAUCGGGGUUGGGGGCCGGGAUUUGAAUCGGCCGGUCGGUUGAGAACGGCGGCGGCGCGGAGAACUGGUUGAAAACCCUAGCAGAGCUUUUGCUCUCUUCUUUUGUUUUUUUUUC
RNAcentral lists this long non-coding RNA (809 nucleotides) under Gossypium barbadense (sea-island cotton). Its description in RNAcentral is "long non-coding RNA (GBAR_LNC017414)". The record is from RNAcentral. Lineage: Eukaryota; Viridiplantae; Streptophyta; Magnoliopsida; Malvales; Malvaceae.